This 685-nucleotide ribosomal RNA is filed under the name uncultured bacterium. RNAcentral describes it as "bacterial SSU rRNA". It matches the Rfam family "Bacterial small subunit ribosomal RNA", at positions 56 to 710 of the family's 1533-position model. The record is from RNAcentral.
UGCAAGUCGAACAGAGAAUUUCUCUGAGUUUACUUAGAGAAAUUUUUAGUGGCGGACGGGUGAGUAACGCGUGGGUAACCUACCCAUAAAGCCGGGACAACCCUUGGAAACGAGGGCUAAUACCGGAUAAUCUUAAGCUUUGGCAUCAAAGUAUAAGGAAAGGUGGCCUCUGAGUAUGCUACCGAUUAUGGAUGGACCCGCGUCUGAUUAGCUAGUUGGUGGGGUAAAGGCCUACCAAGGCGACGAUCAGUAGCCGGCCUGAGAGGGUGAACGGCCACACUGGGACUGAGACACGGCCCAGACUCCUACGGGAGGCAGCAGUGGGGAAUCUUCCGCAAUGGACGAAAGUCUGACGGAGCAACGCCGCGUGUAUGAUGAAGGUCUUCGGAUUGUAAAGUACUGUCUUUGGGGAAGAAUGACUGGUUUAAAAAUAUUGAGCCAGUAUGACGGUACCCAAGGAGGAAGCCCCGGCUAACUACGUGCCAGCAGCCGCGGUAAUACGUAGGGGGCAAGCGUUGUCCGGAAUUAUUGGGCGUAAAGGGCGCGUAGGCGGAUGUUUAAGUCCGGUGUGAAAGAUCAGGGCUCAACCCUGAGAGUGCAUCGGAAACUGGGCAUCUUGAGGACAGGAGAGGAAAGUGGAAUUCCACGUGUAGCGGUGAAAUGCGUAGAUAUGUGGAGGAACACC